RNAcentral lists this ribosomal RNA (308 nucleotides) under uncultured bacterium. RNAcentral's name for it is "bacterial SSU rRNA". It matches the Rfam family "Bacterial small subunit ribosomal RNA", at positions 372 to 679 of the family's 1533-position model. The record is from RNAcentral.
UGGACGCAAGUCUGAACCAGCCAUGCCGCGUGCAGGAAGACGGCUUAUGAGUUGUAAACUGCUUUUGUACGAGAGUAACGCUCUUACGUGUAAGAGCCUGAAAGUAUCGUACGAAUAAGGAUCGGCUAACUCCGUGCCAGCAGCCGCGGUAAUACGGAGGAUCCAAGCGUUAUCCGGAUUUAUUGGGUUUAAAGGGUGCGUAGGCGGUUUGAUAAGUUAGAGGUGAAAUACCGGUGCUUAACACCGGAACUGCCUCUAAUACUGUUGAACUAGAGAGUAGUUGCGGUAGGCGGAAUGUAUGGUGUAGC